GACGAACGCUGGCGGCGUGCUUAACACAUGCAAGUCGAACGGAAAGGCCCUGCUUUUGUGGGGUGCUCGAGUGGCGAACGGGUGAGUAACACGUGAGUAACCUGCCCUUUACUUUGGGAUAACUUCAGGAAACUGGGGCUAAUACCGGUUAUUAGCUCCUGCUGCAUGGUGGGGGUUGGAAAGUUUCGGCGGUUGGGGUUGGACUCGCGGCUUAUCAGCUUGUUGGUGGGGUAGUGGCUUACCAAGGCUUUGACGGGUAGCCGGCCUGAGAGGGUGACCGGCCACAUGGGGAAGGAGAUAAGGCCAAGACGCCUACGGGAGGCAGCAGUGGGGAAUAUUGGACAAUGGGCGGAAGCCUGAUGCAGCAACGCCGCGUGCGGGAUGACGGCCUUCGGGUUGUAAACCGCUUUCGCCUGUGACGAAGCGGGAGUGACGGUAAUGGGUAAAGAAGCACCGGCUAACUACGUG
RNAcentral lists this ribosomal RNA (468 nucleotides) under uncultured bacterium. RNAcentral describes it as "partial 16S ribosomal RNA". It matches the Rfam family "Bacterial small subunit ribosomal RNA", at positions 28 to 507 of the family's 1533-position model. The record is from RNAcentral.